This 253-nucleotide ribosomal RNA is filed under the name uncultured bacterium. Its description in RNAcentral is "partial 16S ribosomal RNA". It matches the Rfam family "Bacterial small subunit ribosomal RNA", at positions 524 to 777 of the family's 1533-position model. The record is from RNAcentral.
UACAGAGGUCUCAAGCGUUGUUCGGAUUCAUUGGGCGUAAAGGGUGCGUAGGCGGCGCGGUAAGUCGGGUGUGAAAUCUCGGAGCUUAACUCCGAAACUGCAUUCGAUACUGCCGUGCUUGAGGACUGGAGAGGAGACUGGAAUUUACGGUGUAGCGGUGAAAUGCGUAGAUAUCGUAAGGAAGACCAGUGGCGAAGGCGGGUCUCUGGACAGUUCCUGACGUGAGGCACGAAGGUCAGGGGAGCAAACGGGG